AGUGAACGCUGGCGGUAGGCCUAACACAUGCAAGUCGAACGGCAGCACAGUAAGAGCUUGCUCUUACGGGUGGCGAGUGGCGGACGGGUGAGGAAUACAUCGGAAUCUACUUUUUCGUGGGGGAUAACGUAGGGAAACUUACGCUAAUACCGCAUACGACCUACGGGUGAAAGCAGGGGAUCUUCGGACCUUGCGUGAUUGAAUGAGCCGAUGUCGGAUUAGCUAGUUGGCGGGGUAAAGGCCCACCAAGGCGACGAUCCGUAGCUGGUCUGAGAGGAUGAUCAGCCACACUGGAACUGAGACACGGUCCAGACUCCUACGGGAGGCAGCAGUGGGGAAUAUUGGACAAUGGGCGCAAGCCUGAUACAGCCAUACCGCGUGGGUGAAGAAGGCCUUCGGGUUGUAAAGCCCUUUUGUUGGGAAAGAAAAGCAGCAGGUUAAUACCCCGCUGUUCUGACGGUACCCAAAGAAUAAGCACCGGCUAACUUCGUG
This 492-nucleotide ribosomal RNA is filed under the name uncultured bacterium. RNAcentral's name for it is "partial 16S ribosomal RNA". It matches the Rfam family "Bacterial small subunit ribosomal RNA", at positions 29 to 507 of the family's 1533-position model. The record is from RNAcentral.